This 329-nucleotide unclassified non-coding RNA is filed under the name soil metagenome. Its description in RNAcentral is "partial contains 5.8S ribosomal RNA, internal transcribed spacer 2, and large subunit ribosomal RNA". The stretch from base 1 to 120 matches the Rfam family "5.8S ribosomal RNA", at positions 35 to 154 of the family's 154-position model. The record is from RNAcentral.
GAUGAAGAACGUAGCGAAAUGCGAUAAGUAAUGUGAAUUGCAGAAUUCAGUGAAUCAUCGAAUCUUUGAACGCACAUUGCGCCCCUUGGUAUUCCGAGGGGCAUGCCUGUUCGAGCGUCAUUAUAACCCCUCAAGCUCAGCUUGGUGUUGGGGCCUGCUGCACUGGCAGCCCUUAAAAUCAGUGGCGGCGCCAUCUGGCUCUAAGCGUAGUAAUUCUUCUCGCUAUGGAGUCCUGGUGGAUGCUUGCCAUCAACCCCCAAUUUUUCUAUGGUUGACCUCGGAUCAGGUAGGGAUACCGGCUGAACUUAAGCAUAUCAAUAAGCGGAGGA